Molecule: ribosomal RNA, 585 nt
Filed under: uncultured bacterium
Lineage: Bacteria
Description: partial 16S ribosomal RNA
Rfam family: Bacterial small subunit ribosomal RNA
Source: RNAcentral
UGGGAAUUUGGACAAUGGGCGAAAGCCUGAUCCAGCAAUGCCGCGUGUGUGAAGAAGGCCUUCGGGUUGUAAAGCACUUUUGUCCGGAAAGAAAUCCUUGGCUCUAAUACAGUCGGGGGAUGACGGUACCGGAAGAAUAAGCACCGGCUAACUACGUGCCAGCAGCCGCGGUAAUACGUAGGGUGCAAGCGUUAAUCGGAAUUACUGGGCGUAAAGCGUGCGCAGGCGGUUUGCUAAGACCGAUGUGAAAUCCCCGGGCUCAACCUGGGAACUGCAUUGGUGACUGGCAGGCUAGAGUAUGGCAGAGGGGGGUAGAAUUCCACGUGUAGCAGUGAAAUGCGUAGAGAUGUGGAGGAAUACCGAUGGCGAAGGCAGCCCCCUGGCCAAGUACUGACGCUCAUGCACGAAAGCGUGGGGAGCAAAACAGGAUUAGAUACCCUGGUAGUCCACGCCCUAAAACGAUGUCAACUAGUUGUUGGGGAUUCAUUUCCUUAGUAACGUAGCUAACGCGUGAAGUUGACCGCCUGGGGAGUACGGUCGCAAGAUUAAAACUCAAAUGAAUUGACGGGGUCAUAGCUGUUUCCU